UCGCGGCUUAUCACCGGCAGUCUCCUUAGAGUGCUCAACUAAAUGGUAGCAACUGAGGACGGGGGUUGCGCUCGUUGCGGGACUUAACCCAACAUCUCACGACACGAGCUGACGACAACCAUGCAGCACCUCUGCGGACUCCCUUGCGGGUCGGCCGGUGUUUCCACUAGCUUACCAUCCGUAGUUCAAGCCCAGGUAAGGUUCUUCGCGUUGCGUCGAAUUAAACCACAUGCUCCACCGCUUGUGCGGGCCCCCGCCAAUUCCUUUGAGUUUCAACCUUGCGGCCGUACUCCCCAGGCGGGGUACUUCCUGCGUUAGCGCCGGCACCCAGAGGGUCGCUCCCCCAGGCACCUAGUACCCAUCGUUUACGGCGUGGACUAC
RNAcentral lists this unclassified non-coding RNA (381 nucleotides) under uncultured bacterium. RNAcentral describes it as "contains 16S-23S intergenic spacer region". The record is from RNAcentral.